This 235-nucleotide ribosomal RNA is filed under the name uncultured bacterium. RNAcentral's name for it is "partial 16S ribosomal RNA". It matches the Rfam family "Bacterial small subunit ribosomal RNA", at positions 96 to 334 of the family's 1533-position model. The record is from RNAcentral.
UGGCGGACGGGUGAGUAAUGUCUGGGAAACUGCCUGAUGGAGGGGGAUAACUACUGGAAACGGUAGCUAAUACCGCAUAACGUCGCAAGACCAAAGAGGGGGACCUUCGGGCCUCUUGCCAUCGGAUGUGCCCAGAUGGGAUUAGCUAGUAGGUGGGGUAACGGCUCACCUAAGCGACGAUCCCUAGCUGGUCUGAGAGGAUGACCAGCCACACUGGAACUGAGACACGGUCCAG